RNAcentral lists this ribosomal RNA (277 nucleotides) under uncultured bacterium. RNAcentral describes it as "partial 16S ribosomal RNA". It matches the Rfam family "Bacterial small subunit ribosomal RNA", at positions 80 to 354 of the family's 1533-position model. The record is from RNAcentral.
UACUUAUGAUGGCGACCGGCGCACGGGUGCGUAACGCGUAUGGCAACCUACCUUUUACAGGGGCGUAACACUGACGAAAUUGGUACUAAUUCCCCAUAAUAUCUGAGACGGCAGUCGUUUUAGGGUUGAAACUCCGGUGGUAAAAGAUGGGCAUGCGUUGUAUUAGCUAGUUGGUGAGGUAACGGCUCACCAAGGCGACGAUACAUAGGGGGACUGAGAGGUUAACCCCCCCACAUUGGUACUGAGACACGGACCAAACUCCUACGGGAGGCAGCAG